UGGGGAAUAUUGCACAAUGGGCGCAAGCCUGAUGCAGCCAUGCCGCGUGUAUGAAGAAGGCCUUCGGGUUGUAAAGUACUUUCAGCGGGGAGGAAGGGAGUAAAGUUAAUACCUUUGCUCAUUGACGUUACCCGCAGAAGAAGCACCGGCUAACUCCGUGCCAGCAGCCGCGGUAAUACGGAGGGUGCAAGCGUUAAUCGGAAUUACUGGGCGUAAAGCGCACGCAGGCGGUUUGUUAAGUCAGAUGUGAAAUCCCCGGGCUCAACCUGGGAACUGCAUCUGAUACUGGCAAGCUUGAGUCUCGUAGAGGGGGGUCGAAUUCCCGGUGUAGCGAUGAAAUGCGUAGAGAUCUGGCGGAAUACCGGUGGCGAAGGCGGCCCCCUGGACAAAGACUGACGCUCAGGUGCGAAAGCGUGGGGAGCAAACAGG
This 429-nucleotide ribosomal RNA is filed under the name Chloroflexota bacterium. Its description in RNAcentral is "Chloroflexi bacterium partial 16S ribosomal RNA". It matches the Rfam family "Bacterial small subunit ribosomal RNA", at positions 355 to 776 of the family's 1533-position model. The record is from RNAcentral. Lineage: Bacteria; Bacillati; Chloroflexota.